AUGCCCUCCGUCGUCACCCCUUAAAACCUGUUACCCGCUUUCGGACUAGGUCGGUACGGCGCACGUCCUACUUCCGGAAGCCCAACAUUUGACGAAAACAUGCCUUGCUUUGCCGGAAAAGAUUAUUUCUCCCGAUUACUGCCAUGGCAUUCUUAUUCGUGGCCGAUUGAUGCACGGUCGUCGGCGCCAUUAUGCAUCCCACGUUCGCAAUUAGCCUUAAUGACCCGCAUUUCGCACGCGUCCGCCAAUACAUUCUGUCAACACUUUAGGGGCCCGAGUUGGACCCUUGACGUAGACACUGACGUAUCGAUCUCAUGCCAUCUCCCCCUACCUUAAGGCGCACAUCGUCACUUUACGCAUCUAUACGCCUCCUUGUGGCUACCGCUUCCGUUAGGGGACCUGGACAUGACUGCGAGUACGUGCUUUCGCACCCCUCGUUUGUCCUAAUCUAUGGGACCAUCAGGUGCGGG
Molecule: ribosomal RNA, 470 nt
Filed under: uncultured bacterium
Lineage: Bacteria
Description: partial 16S ribosomal RNA
Source: RNAcentral